AUAUGGGCGUUAAAACUCACAAGUCCAGCUGAAGACUGUCACAGAUCUGAUCCUGCUUUUACUGCUCAGGGAAAUGAAUGGGAUUUCUUUAAAAUCUUUUAUUAAUAUAAAUUUAUGCUGUAUAAGAAGAAUGAUCUGUUUCAGCCCUGCAGACUGAGAGAGUGUUCAGCCCUGUGAGGAGUGAUUUCUGACUCUGAGGGAAUGUAGGAAGCUGGAUUUACUGAGGAUAGAUAUUCUCUUGUGACAACUUCUCAUAGAUCCUAACUAUGAGUUCUCUACCACCCAUACGAGACGAUAGGAUCAUCUGUGAGCUCCCACUGUACUUCACCAAGGAUGCUGCUCUGCACACCAAAGACGGCUUUCACGUUACCGUCCAAAACGCAUGUCAGACUCAGACAUCAGACCCCAUGGGAUUUAAUGUAGCCAAGGUAAUAGUCGUGGGUGAUGUUGGAGUAGGAAAAACAUGUUUAAUUAACAGGUUUUGUAAGGAUACUUUUGACAAAGGCUACAAAGCCACUAUUGGAGUGGACUUUGAGAUGGAGAGAUUUAAGGUCCUAGGAGUGCCUUUCAACCUGCAGCUAUGGGACACUGCAGGCCAGGAGAGGUUUAAAUGCAUUGCGUCCACCUAUUACAGAGGGGCCCAAGCCAUCAUAGUUGUAUUUGAUCUGAGCAACUACUACUCUUUGGUUAAUGCAAGACAGUGGCUUGAAGAUGCCAUGAUAGACAACGACCCUUCCAGUGUGCUUCUCUUCCUCGUGGGGACCAAGAAGGACCAGAGUCAUCCAGACCUGCUGGCCCAGAUGGAGGAGGAAGCCAUUAAGUUGUCAGAGGAGAUAAAAGCUGAGUACUGGGCUGUUUCUGCUCUGUCAGGAGAGAGCGUGAGGCAGCUGUUUCUCCGGGUUGCGUCACUUACCUUCGAGGCUUCUGUUUUAGCGGAACUGGAAAGGAAGAACACGAGACAUGCAGACAAUGUUGUUAAAAUCACUGGAGAUCACAACGACUUCAGGAAGAAGAAGCAAAGCAACUGCUGCAAUUAAGUGUUAAGUUGAGAAGUGUGAUGUCAGCAAACAGUAACAUCACGUAGUUCACCCGGCAGCACCGACUGCCCCUAAAGAACUCCAGCUGCACUGGACUGCCCAAACAGCUGACGUCAAAGCUGAUGGCUGUGUGAGAACCUCAGAAAUGCUCUUUAAACAAUUAAACAGUGAAGAACAAUGAAGGAUCUUACUGCGCUUGUGCUCAGCGUCCCAGACACGCAUCUGCAGGAUAAAAUGAUAUAAUUGUGUUGCCAAAAGAGGCUUUAUGGUGUAUUUAUCAUGUGUUAAUGAUUGUGAAAAUGUGUUAAUAUGUGUAUUACAUAUUUAAAGGGAUAUAAAAAGGAUAAUAUAUAGAAAAGAAAUUCCACAUACAGCACCAGUCAAAAGUCUAGACACUCUACACACUUUCUCAUUCAAGAAGGUUUUUUAUUUAAUUCCUACACUGUAUAAUAGUACUAAAGUCAUCUAUGAAGGAGCACAUAAGAAAGCAUGUAGUGACUUAAAAGUAUUAUUUUAUUUAAUCUUUUGACAGGUACUGUAUAUCUUUAUUGUCUCUGAAAAACCUUGUAUCUCCAAAAUACUAAGAAAAAAACAUAUGAACAUAUGAACAGCAAACAUUUUCAAUAAUUUUGUAGCACCUCUACAGUUUCAUUUAUUGUGACAUUUUGAAACGAAAAAAACCUGCCACUUUAUUAUUACAUUAUUAUUAUUAGAUUAUCAUGAGAAGAAAAACAGCAAAAUUGGAGGUACAUGGUUUUUGAAUUACUCUAGAAUUCUGAACACAAUUAUGAAGGGGUUAAUAUGACUGUAGCAGUUGUGAAUAGUGCCUUAAGAAAUAUUUUAUUGAAUAAGAGUCUAUUUUAUUGAACUUAAAUGAUUGACUGAACUUUAAUUAUUUAAGUGUGUGGAGACACUGUUCUGACACAAGCUUUUAUUUACUUUUCUUAUUCAUGUGUUUACAAGUUUACAAGAUGUUUGAGGUGCACUCACUUUUGUGUGUUACCUUGUUUUAGGAAUUUUAUGAAGGAAAUCAUUUUAGUGUUUUUUGGGGAUUUAUCUGAAUAUUGGUGCACCUACUAGCCUUAUCCCUAUCUUUAUGUUUACUGCCUUGAUUAAUAUAAUUGCCCUCUAUAUUCCAUAAUCUUCUGCUGUAAUAAAAGCAUU
Molecule: RNA transcript, 2201 nt
Organism: Astyanax mexicanus (Mexican tetra)
Lineage: Eukaryota; Metazoa; Chordata; Actinopteri; Characiformes; Acestrorhamphidae
Gene: rab34b
Gene name: RAB34, member RAS oncogene family b
Exons: 12
Source: RefSeq, a predicted model, not a curated record